This 494-nucleotide ribosomal RNA is filed under the name uncultured bacterium. Its description in RNAcentral is "partial 16S ribosomal RNA". It matches the Rfam family "Bacterial small subunit ribosomal RNA", at positions 28 to 507 of the family's 1533-position model. The record is from RNAcentral.
GACGAACGCUGGCGGCGUGCUUAACACAUGCAAGUCGAACGGUGAAGCGCCUUCCUUUUUGGUGGGUGUGGAUGAGUGGCGAACGGGUGAGUAACACGUGAGUAACCUGCUCCCUUCUUCUGGAUAACCGCAUGAAAGUGUGGCUAAUACGGGAUAUUCUGGGUCUGUUGCAUGAUGGGUCUGGGAAAGAUAUUGUUUCGGUGGGGGAUGGGCUCGCGGCCUAUCAGCUUGUUGGUGGGGUGAUGGCCUACCAAGGCGGUGACGGGUAGCCGGCCUGAGAGGGUGGACGGCCGCACUGGGACUGGGACACAGUGCGGACUCCUACGGGAGGCAGCAGCGGGGGAUAGUGGACGAUGGGCGCAAGGCUGAAGCGGCGACGGCGCGUGGGAGAUGGAGGCCGUCGGGUUGUGAACCUCUUUGGUCAGUGACGCCGGCCUGCCUGGUCUGUGGGUGGGUUGACGGUAGCUGGAGAAGAAGCGCCGGCUAACUACGUG